GACGUCUGUGGAACGAGCGGCGGACGGGUGAGUAACACGUGGGCAACCUGCCUGUAAGACUGGGAUAACUCCGGGAAACCGGGGCUAAUACCGGAUAACUCAUCGGAUCGCAUGAUCCGAUGUUGAAAGAUGGCUUCUCGCUAUCACUUACAGAUGGGCCCGCGGCGCAUUAGCUAGUUGGUGAGGUAACGGCUCACCAAGGCCACGAUGCGUAGCCGACCUGAGAGGGUGAUCGGCCACACUGGGACUGAGACACGGCCCAGAGGACAUGCGCAGCUAUAAUGCAGUCGACUCCUACGGGAGGCAGCAGUAGGGAAUCAUCCGCAAUGGACGAAAGUCUGACGGUGCAACGCCGCGUGAGUGAGGAAGGCCUUCGGGUCGUAAAACUCUGUUGUUAGGGAAGAACAAGUUCCGUUCGAAUAGGGCGGAGCCUUGACGGCACCUAACCCGAAAGCCACGGCUAACUACAUGCCAACAGCCGCGGUAAUACGUAGGUGGAA
RNAcentral lists this ribosomal RNA (500 nucleotides) under Salinicoccus roseus. RNAcentral describes it as "bacterial SSU rRNA". It matches the Rfam family "Bacterial small subunit ribosomal RNA", at positions 79 to 536 of the family's 1533-position model. The record is from RNAcentral. Lineage: Bacteria; Bacillati; Bacillota; Bacilli; Caryophanales; Staphylococcaceae.